This 301-nucleotide ribosomal RNA is filed under the name uncultured bacterium. RNAcentral describes it as "partial 16S ribosomal RNA". It matches the Rfam family "Bacterial small subunit ribosomal RNA", at positions 509 to 807 of the family's 1533-position model. The record is from RNAcentral.
CAGUCGCCGCGGUAAUACAGAGGGUGCGAGCGUUAAUCGGAUUUACUGGGCGUAAAGCGUGCGUAGGCGGCUUCUUAAGUCGGAUGUGAAAUCCCUGAGCUUAACUUAGGAAUUGCAUUCGAUACUAGGAAGCUAGAGUAUGGGAGAGGAUGGUAGAAUUCCAGGUGUAGCGGUGAAAUGCGUAGAGAUCUGGAGGAAUACCGAUGGCGAAGGCAGCCAUCUGGCCUAAUACUGACGCUGAGGUACGAAAGCAUGGGGAGCAAACAGGAUUAGAUACCCGUGUAGUCCCUGUCUCUUAUAC